GAUGAACGCUGGCGGCGUGCCUAAUACAUGCAAGUCGAGCGAACAGACGAGGAGCUUGCUCCUUUGACGUUAGCGGCGGACGGGUGAGUAACACGUGGAUAACCUACCUAUAAGACUGGGAUAACUUCGGGAAACCGGAGCUAAUACCGGAUAACAUGUUGAACCGCAUGGUUCAACAGUGAAAGACGGUCUUGCUGUCACUUAUAGAUGGAUCCGCGCCGCAUUAGCUAGUUGGUAAGGUAACGGCUUACCAAGGCAACGAUGCGUAGCCGACCUGAGGGGGUGAUCGGCCACACUGGACCUGAGCCCCGGUCCAGACUCCUACGGGAGGCAGCGGUAGGGAAUCUUCCGCACUGGGCGAAAGCCUGACGGAGCAACGCCGCGUGAGUGAAGAAGGUCUUCGGAUCGUAAAACUCUGUUAUUAGGGAAGAACAAAUGUGUAAGUAACUAUGCACGUCUUGACGGUACCUAAUCAGAAGGCCACGGCAACCUACGU
RNAcentral lists this ribosomal RNA (496 nucleotides) under uncultured bacterium. RNAcentral's name for it is "partial 16S ribosomal RNA". It matches the Rfam family "Bacterial small subunit ribosomal RNA", at positions 28 to 506 of the family's 1533-position model. The record is from RNAcentral.